GACGAACGCUGGCGGCGUGCUUAACACAUGCAAGUCGAACGGAAAGGCCCCUUCUGGGGUACUCGAGUGGCUAACGGGUGAGUAACACGUGAGUAACCUGCCCUUGACUUCGGGAUAACUUCAGGAAACUGGGGCGAAUACCUGAUAGGUAUCCUUUCUGCCUGGUGGGGGUUGGAAAGCUUCGGCGGUUUUGGAUGGACUCGCGGCUUAUCAGCUUGUUGGUGGGGUAGUGGCUUACCAAGGCAUUGACGGGUAGCCGGCCUGGGAGGGCGACCGGCCACAUUGGGACUGAGGUACGGCCCAGGAUCCUACGGGGGGGAGCAGUGGGGAAUAUUGCACAAUGGGCGGAAGCCUGAUGCAGGAACGCCGCGUGCGGGAUGACGGCCUUCGGGUUGGAAACCGCUUUCAGCAGGGGCGAAGCUUGUGGUGACGGUACCUGCAGAAGAAGCACCGGCUAACUACGUG
RNAcentral lists this ribosomal RNA (465 nucleotides) under uncultured bacterium. RNAcentral describes it as "partial 16S ribosomal RNA". It matches the Rfam family "Bacterial small subunit ribosomal RNA", at positions 28 to 507 of the family's 1533-position model. The record is from RNAcentral.